This 654-nucleotide ribosomal RNA is filed under the name Photobacterium angustum. Its description in RNAcentral is "bacterial SSU rRNA". It matches the Rfam family "Bacterial small subunit ribosomal RNA", at positions 1 to 640 of the family's 1533-position model. RNAcentral also lists the same sequence under 1 other name. The record is from RNAcentral. Lineage: Bacteria; Pseudomonadati; Pseudomonadota; Gammaproteobacteria; Vibrionales; Vibrionaceae.
CCCUUAGAGUUUGAUCCUGGCUCAGAUUGAACGCUGGCGGCAGGCCUAACACAUGCAAGUCGAGCGGUAACAGAUUGAUAGCUUGCUAUCGAUGCUGACGAGCGGCGGACGGGUGAGUAAUGCCUGGGAAUAUGCCCUGAUGUGGGGGAUAACUAUUGGAAACGAUAGCUAAUACCGCAUAAUCUCUUUGGAGCAAAGAGGGGGACCUUCGGGCCUCUCGCGUCAGGAUUAGCCCAGGUGGGAUUAGCUUGUUGGUGGGGUAAUGGCUCACCAAGGCAACGAUCCCUAGCUGGUCUGAGAGGAUGAUCAGCCACACUGGAACUGAGACACGGUCCAGACUCCUACGGGAGGCAGCAGUGGGGAAUAUUGCACAAUGGGGGAAACCCUGAUGCAGCCAUGCCGCGUGUAUGAAGAAGGCCUUCGGGUUGUAAAGUACUUUCAGUUGUGAGGAAGGCAGUAAAGUUAAUAGCUUUGCUGUUUGACGUUAGCAACAGAAGAAGCACCGGCUAACUCCGUGCCAGCAGCCGCGGUAAUACGGAGGGGGCGAGCGUUAAAUCGGAAUUACUGGGGCGUAAAGCGCAUGCAGGUGGUCUGUUAAGCAAAGAUGUGAAAGCCCGGGGCUCAACCUCGGAACAGCAUUUUGAACUGGGCAAA